CUUUUGAGUAUGGUGAAUAUAAUUGUCUUAUCAGGCGUCCUCACAAGUUACUUGCAUUCAGGGUUUGAUGUUGGCAUAGGUUUGGGUUUAUGUUGGCGAUUUUUGUUCUGGGGGCCUUAGCUCAGCUGGUAGAGCACCUGCUUUGCAAGCAGGGGGUCGUCGGUUCGAUCCCGACAGGCUCCACCAUGAAAGUAUUUAUGGGUCUGUAGCUCAGGUGGUUAGAGCGCACCCCUGAUAAGGGUGAGGUCGGUGGUUCGAGUCCUCCCAGACCCACCAAUGUUAUAUCAAUUAUUCUGAAUGUGGUUUGCGCAUUUUUUAUGCUUAUCAGCCUUGGAGCUGUGAAGCGUUCUUUUAUAAUUUGAUGAUGUAGCAAGCGUUUGAACUUUUUGUUAAUAAUUUCUCAUUGGAAGCCUUAAGUGACAAUGUUUAUCCAUUGUCUUGUAGAUUUUGAGGCGAC
RNAcentral lists this unclassified non-coding RNA (457 nucleotides) under Xylella fastidiosa. RNAcentral describes it as "partial 16S-23S ribosomal RNA intergenic spacer". The stretch from base 111 to 183 matches the Rfam family "tRNA". Lineage: Bacteria; Pseudomonadati; Pseudomonadota; Gammaproteobacteria; Lysobacterales; Lysobacteraceae. The record is from RNAcentral.